GCAGGCGUAGCUCAGUCGGUUAGAGUGUCUGACUGUGGAUCAGAAGGUCGGUGGUUCGAAUCCACCCGCCUGUA
Molecule: transfer RNA, 74 nt
Filed under: candidate division Zixibacteria bacterium 4484_95
Lineage: Bacteria; Pseudomonadati; Candidatus Zixiibacteriota
Also listed under: 1 other name
Description: tRNA-His
Rfam family: tRNA
About the family: Transfer RNA (tRNA) molecules are approximately 80 nucleotides in length. Their secondary structure includes four short double-helical elements and three loops (D, anti-codon, and T loops).
Source: RNAcentral